This 116-nucleotide ribosomal RNA is filed under the name Scophthalmus maximus (turbot). The record is from RNAcentral. Lineage: Eukaryota; Metazoa; Chordata; Actinopteri; Pleuronectiformes; Scophthalmidae.
GCUUACGGCCACACCGCUGGUUCACCCCGAUCUCGUUUGAUCUCGGAAGCAAGAUAGGUUGGGCCUGGUUAGUACUUGGAUGGGAGACCGCCUGGGAAUACCAGGUGCUGUAAGCU